This 460-nucleotide ribosomal RNA is filed under the name uncultured bacterium. Its description in RNAcentral is "partial 16S ribosomal RNA". It matches the Rfam family "Bacterial small subunit ribosomal RNA", at positions 338 to 795 of the family's 1533-position model. The record is from RNAcentral.
CCUACGGGCGGCAGCAGUGAGGAAUAUUGGUCAAUGGACGAGAGUCUGAACCAGCCAAGUAGCGUGAAGGAUGACUGCCCUAUGGGUUGUAAACUUCUUUUAUAUGGGAAUAAAAUGUUCCACGUGUGGGAUUUUGUAUGUACCAUAUGAAUAAGGAUCGGCUAACUCCGUGCCAGCAGCCGCGGUAAUACGGAGGAUCCGAGCGUUAUCCGGAUUUAUUGGGUUUAAAGGGAGCGUAGGUGGAUUGUUAAGUCAGUUGUGAAAGUUUGCGGUUCAACCGUAAAAUUGCAGUUGAAACUGGCAGUCUUGAGUACAGUAGAGGUGGGCGGAAUUCGUGGUGUAGCGGUGAAAUGCUUAGAUAUCACGAAGAACUCCGAUUGCGAAGGCAGUUCACUGGACUGCAACUGACACUGAGGCUCGAAAGUGUGGGUAUCAAACAGGAUUAGAUACCCUAGUAGUC